UUCAUUGCACCUGAUAACUCAGAGUUAGUCGCCUAACAUGCAUUUAGAAUGUAAAACGCAGCAACAAUUUUGUUGCAUCGGUAAAAGCAGAAGCAAAUAAUGGGGAUCCAAUAUUGAAUAUUGAAUGCUCCCAAUCACUGUAUAUGAUUUGAAUGUCCUUAUUUGUUGAACAUAAAGCCGAAUUUCUGAUCAAUUUGCAGCCCCUUUUCUUGACCAUUGGCAUCGGAUGGGAAUCUUAUGGGAACAGAGAAGACAAUUCGUGAACAAACAGCAAAAGAUGCAUAUGGGUAAAGAGAAAAAAUAUGUUGCUAGAAUUAUCCUCCCUGAAAAUAAAUAAUACAUCAUCGCUGCCCUAAACAUCCGGCUACUUCUUCAUUGUGAUCACAGAAGAAAUGCUACAAGAAGAAGUGUAUACAUACAUUAAUUGUUAGAAAUAUAUGUGAAUGAUAAGAGUCAUGCUUAAGUCCAGAUGUGUCGAUUGUAAAAUUCAGGUCUUAAUUAGAAUUAGAAUUUACAGCUAGCGCUAUGCAACUCUGAUUAUACUAGUUUAAAUUCAGAUUUUGUAAAAUCCGAGUGUCCGGGCUUAAGCACGUACCCGGGAAAAUGACUUUCUUGAAUACGGAACAGAGCGGCUCGGCCGCUAAUAACACAUCUGGAGCUGCGGACUAAAAUAC
RNAcentral lists this long non-coding RNA (674 nucleotides) under Citrus sinensis (sweet orange). RNAcentral describes it as "long non-coding RNA (CSIN_LNC000722)". The record is from RNAcentral. Lineage: Eukaryota; Viridiplantae; Streptophyta; Magnoliopsida; Sapindales; Rutaceae.